CGUGCACGCCGGAGCGUGUCCUCUCGCAUAAAAUCCAUCUCACCCUUUUGUGCACCACCGCGUGGGCACCCUUUGGGAUCGAACCGAUCCAGGAGGGCGCUUGCGUUUUCACACAAACCCCCUUAUAAAAGUGUAGAAUGACCCCAUUUUUGCGAUAACACGCAAUCAAUACAACUUUCAACAACGGAUCUCUUGGCUCUCGCAUCGAUGAAGAACGCAGCGAAAUGCGAUACGUAAUGUGAAUUGCAGAAUUCAGUGAAUCAUCGAAUCUUUGAACGCACCUUGCGCCCCUUGGUAUUCCGAGGGGCACACCCGUUUGAGUGUCGUGAAAAUCUCAACCUCCUCGGUUUCUUCUGGACGCCGAAGGAGGCUUGGACUUUGGAGGCCUUUGCUGGCGUCUCUCGCCAGCUCCUCUCAAAUGAAUUAGCGGGGUCCUCUUUGCCGAUCCUCGACGUGUGAUAAGAUGUUUCCAUGUCUUGGUUUCUGGCUCUGUCGCCUUUGGGACCCGCUUCUAACCGUCUCAAGUCGAGACAACGUUUGAGCGUGUCUCCCUUCUCGGGAAACACCCUCGAGCCCACGAACCCUUGACCUCAAAUCGGGUGAGACUACCCGCUGAACUUAAGCAUAUCAAUA
Molecule: ribosomal RNA, 633 nt
Filed under: Lactarius sp. M13_F2
Lineage: Eukaryota; Fungi; Basidiomycota; Agaricomycetes; Russulales; Russulaceae
Description: eukaryotic LSU rRNA
Rfam family: 5.8S ribosomal RNA (bases 173-326)
Source: RNAcentral